Long non-coding RNA from Lathyrus oleraceus (garden pea), 940 nucleotides. RefSeq lists it as uncharacterized. The record is from RefSeq and is a predicted model, not a curated record. The transcript is spliced from 2 exons. NCBI's taxonomy places the organism in Eukaryota, Viridiplantae, Streptophyta, Magnoliopsida, Fabales, Fabaceae.
ACUAAAAAUAAUUUUAGAAAACAGUUUUUAAAAAUUAGCUUUUCAAAUAGAUUUUUUAAUUUUUAAUUUUUAAAAACUAAAAUACUGUUUUUGGAAAGGGAUUCAAGUCUUUCUCUCUCAUUAUGCUAACCAUCUUCCCCAACCUCUCACCAUCACCAUUUUCAAGUUUCUUUAAACUCGAACAUAUAAACAAAAACAAAUCCACAACAACAACUCAAAUUCGAAAAUGAAAAAAACCUUACAAACCAAAUCACAAACGCAAAGGAAGGAGGGUGAUCAAUUUCGCUUCAGAUGGUGGUACGUGCGAAUGCAUGGUGAGAUGCGGCUGGUUCGUGUUGCUUCGUUGAUGUUUUGCAGUGCAGUUGUGCGCACGAGGGGAUGGAUGCACUAAGAGAGUUGCUCGCGUCAUUUAUGUUGAUGAUGUGGUUUGUGGAAGAAUAGUUGUUGGAUAUAUGGUUUGUGAAGAGGAUGCAGUGAAGAUUGAAGGAAAAUAAGGUGGGGAGAUAAUGAAAAGGGAGAGUGAUGAAGAUGAAGGUAGUCGAUGAAGAUUUGAUGUGGAUAGUGAAUCUCGAGUGGUUGUGGUGAGCAAAAUGCAGAUUUUUGUAUGUGUUUUCUGUGUAUUCUCAUCUCAAAUUAUCUUAGGAUUCAUAGGAGGAAUUAGGUUAGUAUUUUCAAGUGUGUGAGUGUGUAAAGUGUGUGAGAGACACAAAUUGUGGGAGUGUAGAAGAGUGGAGAGCAAGUUUGUUAGAAUUUGAGUGAGAAAUGGUGUGGAACGUGUGAGUUUUUGUGUUGUCCGCGUGAAGAAGUUAUGGUAUAAUGUAUCGAUUUGGUCUGUUCUGAGGCCAUAAGCUCUUGUUGUCAGUCUGACAUAUUCUCACCCUUAAUUGUAAGUAAAUAAAUUAAAAAACAUAAUUAAUGAGAGUAUUAUUUUUUUUGAGCA